This 301-nucleotide ribosomal RNA is filed under the name uncultured bacterium. RNAcentral describes it as "partial 16S ribosomal RNA". It matches the Rfam family "Bacterial small subunit ribosomal RNA", at positions 509 to 809 of the family's 1533-position model. The record is from RNAcentral.
CAGCAGCCGCGGGAAUACGUAGGGUGCGAGCGUUAAUCGGAAUUACUGGGCGUAAAGCGUGCGCAGGCGGUUAUAUAAGACAGAUGUGAAAUCCCCGGGCUCAACCUGGGACCUGCAUUUGUGACUGUAUAGCUAGAGUACGGUAGAGGGGGAUGGAAUUCCGCGUGUAGCAGUGAAAUGCGUAGAUAUGCGGAGGAACACCGAUGGCGAAGGCAAUCCCCUGGACCUGUACUGUCGCUCAUGCACGAAAGCGUGGGGAGCAAACAGGAUCAGAUACCCGCGUAGUCCCUGUCUCUUAUAA